GACGAACGCUGGCGGCGUGGAUUAGGCAUGCAAGUCGAACGGUAUCAUCCUUUCGGGGGUGAGAGAGUGGCGAACUGGUGAGUAACACGUAGGUUAUCUACCCUCAAGACGGGGACAACCCAGGGAAACUUGGGCUAAUACCGGAUGUGAGCAACUUUUAGUUGUUUGAAAGGUGGCGUAAGCUGUCGCUUGGGGAUGAGCCUGCGUCCUAUUAGUUAGUUGGUGAGGUAACGGCUCACCUAGGCAAUGAUAGGUAGGCGGCCUUAACGGGUGGUCGCCCACACUGGGAUUGAGAUACGGCCCAGACUCCUACGGGAGGCAGCAGUCGAGAAUAGUCUACAAUGGUCGGAAGACUGAUAGUGCGACGCCGCGUGAACGAUGAAUCCCUUCGGGGUUAAAGUUCUUUUAUAUGUGAGCAGUGCUUCUUAUAUUAACAGUAUGGGGAAGAGAUAUUAGCAUAUGAAUAAGCAACGGCUAACUCCGUGCCAGCAGCCGCGGUAA
Molecule: ribosomal RNA, 501 nt
Filed under: uncultured bacterium
Lineage: Bacteria
Description: bacterial SSU rRNA
Rfam family: Bacterial small subunit ribosomal RNA
Source: RNAcentral